AUUUGGCUGUGCCAAAAUGGUCCUGGGAACAGAACCCAGAUGUGAACCCAGGCUGAAUUUCUGGGCAAGGGCUGCUCCACAACCAAAUCCUGCCCCUGGCUUGGCAAGACGUGGCUUGUGCUGAGAGGAACAUACCUUUGGGAUUGUCACGUGUGCUCCUGGUGUGUCACAACAGCCACAGCUGGGCCCUGCUGAGGGGAAAAUGAGCUAGAAUUGUGCUGGUUCCUAAAGAUCCAUCUAGAAACAGAACUUCUCCAUCCUUCUGGAUUAUUGUCUCACAUUUAUCCACUGGAAUUAAGACCUAUGCGUGGGAAAAGACAUCCAGGAGAGUGUUUGGAUGUUAUUUAGCACAGGGAGGCCGCAUUUCUGAACUGGUAGGGGCUGAUCCCAGGGCUCAGAGUGUCAAAUCCCCUCAGGUUUCCAGGUAAAAGUGUGGAUGCACUGCCUCUACCUGAGGAGCUUUGCAGUGCUGCUUUCCCAUCUCGGAUGAAGCAGGACGAGCACGGGAGCUGGAAGGACUUGAAGCCGCAGAGAGGACGUGGAAUUCUGUUGGCUGCUUGCAAGGAAAGGAAGGAAAACAUUCUCCACUCAGUUCCUCACACCUUCUGAAAAGAUGGAAGAGGCUGACAGUGUGCUACGAGGAGGUCAAAGCUGGGAAUCCACAGAUGGAGGGUGCAAAACAUAGCCAAAACCCCAGCAAGUUUCUGGCUCACAAUGGAUUGUGAAUAGAAGGAAUAAACAAUAAAGAGAAUCCUUAAAAACCCUCCA
RNAcentral lists this long non-coding RNA (768 nucleotides) under Cyanistes caeruleus (blue tit). RNAcentral's name for it is "lncRNA (ENSCCEG00000007410.1)". Lineage: Eukaryota; Metazoa; Chordata; Aves; Passeriformes; Paridae. The record is from RNAcentral.